Molecule: ribosomal RNA, 324 nt
Filed under: uncultured Spirochaetota bacterium
Lineage: Bacteria; Pseudomonadati; Spirochaetota
Description: bacterial SSU rRNA
Rfam family: Bacterial small subunit ribosomal RNA
Source: RNAcentral
AACGAACGCUGGCGGCGCGUCUUAAGCAUGCAAGUCGGACGGCAAGGGUAGCAAUACCCCUAGAGUGGCGGACUGGUGAGUAACGCGUGGGUGACCUACCCUUGAGUUGGGGAUAGCCAUUAGAAAUAGUGGAUAAUACCGAAUACGAUCGCGACGCUUUGGCGAUGCGAUGAAAGGAGCUACGGCUCCGCUCGAGGAUGGGCCCGCGUCCCAUUAGCUAGUUGGUGAGGUAACGGCCCACCAAGGCGACGAUGGGUAUCCGGCCUGAGAGGGUGUACGGACACAUUGGGACUGAGAUACGGCCCAAACUCCUACGGGUGGCAG